RNAcentral lists this ribosomal RNA (514 nucleotides) under Candida albicans. Its description in RNAcentral is "eukaryotic LSU rRNA". The stretch from base 147 to 300 matches the Rfam family "5.8S ribosomal RNA". Lineage: Eukaryota; Fungi; Ascomycota; Pichiomycetes; Serinales; Debaryomycetaceae. The record is from RNAcentral.
GGGGCGUGCGCCUUGUGAUUGUGUGUGCCCCGUGGUUUUCUUUGAAACAAACUUGCUUUGGCGGUGGGCCCAGCCUGCCGCCAGAGGUCUAAACUUACAACCAAUUUUUUAUCAACUUGUCACACCAGAUUAUUACUAAUAGUCAAAACUUUCAACAACGGAUCUCUUGGUUCUCGCAUCGAUGAAGAACGCAGCGAAAUGCGAUACGUAAUAUGAAUUGCAGAUAUUCGUGAAUCAUCGAAUCUUUGAACGCACAUUGCGCCCUCUGGUAUUCCGGAGGGCAUGCCUGUUUGAGCGUCGUUUCUCCCUCAAACCGCUGGGUUUGGUGUUGAGCAAUACGACUUGGGUUUGCUUGAAAGACGGUAGUGGUAAGGCGGGAUCGCUUUGACAAUGGCUUAGGUCUAACCAAAAACAUUGCUUGCGGCGGUAACGUCUACCACGUAUAUCUUCAAACUUUGACCUCAAAUCAGGUAGGACUACCCGCUGAACUUAAGCAUAUCAAAAGCCGGAGGAA